GUUCAAUAUUUACAUUAAUAGUUAGCGGUUAGCGGUAGAUAGUUACUGGAACAAUCUGCAGCUCCCUGACUCACCCUAAAUAACACAGAGGUUAAAUGCCUGCUUGCUGAACACAGGCCACAGCAGCACCUGGAUCUUCUAGAUACCUACUGAACAAGGUCUACAGCAGCACCUGGUUCUGCCAGAGCACCUACUGAACAAGAUCUACAGCAUCACCUGGUUCUGCCAGAGCACCUACUGAACAAGAUCUACAGCAUCACCUGGUUCUGCUAGACCACCUACUGAACAAGGUCUACAGCAGCACCUGGUUCUGCCAGAGCACCUACUGAACAAGAUCUACAGCAGCACCUGGUUCUGCCAG
Long non-coding RNA from Clupea harengus (Atlantic herring), 361 nucleotides. The record is from Ensembl. NCBI's taxonomy places the organism in Eukaryota, Metazoa, Chordata, Actinopteri, Clupeiformes, Clupeidae.